This 1523-nucleotide long non-coding RNA is filed under the name Homo sapiens (human). Its description in RNAcentral is "non-protein coding lnc-CNTNAP3B-14:1". Lineage: Eukaryota; Metazoa; Chordata; Mammalia; Primates; Hominidae. The record is from RNAcentral.
AUAAUCAUAUCAAUUCCAGCCCAGUGUCUUCUGUCCUCAUUUAAAUACAAAUUUUUCUUCUAUUGCCAAGCUAUCAAAUAUGUUUCAUUCACUGAGUCUUUGUAAUAAAAGGUGAAACAGCACAGUCUGCACUCAACAGCCAGAUUUUUUUUUAAAGGUUGUAACAUUCAAAUGAUUUGCAGGCAUUUUUCUAACACAUUCUUUAUUUUUGAAAACCAAACAUCUAUGACACCACAUAUGUAUAUCUGCUGAUUGUAGUUAGCAGUCUCAUUCAACACUUAUUAAAAAACAUGAAAUUGUCAAUCCUAUCAAGUUGUUUUUUGGUUGUUUUCAAACCAGAAAGUCUAGUAAAAUUCAAUAUUGUAAAUUGAAUUUCUUUAUUUUUAACAAAAUAUAAUAAAUGGUAGACAAAUCCAUUCUUACAGUUCUAUUUACAAUCCUCUUUCAGUUUUAUCUAUAUAUUUUAAUUAAAAUAUAAUUCAGAUCUGUUUUCUCCCCUACCUCUUUCAUCUGUAGGCUGUGGGAAGGGGUCAUUCUUGGUUUCUUUUCCUUUCCAGCGGUCUUCACCUUACUUACCCCCUCUCCUAUUGGAUAACUGCUUCUACUGACCACUCUAGGACUGAAGUCUGGAAAUAGGAGUGGUAAUGAAGAGAGAAAUUUCUUUCUUAACUGAUAGUAAGUGAUCAUUUAAUCUACAACUGUCAAUUCCCAUGAAACUUUUCACUUUCUAGAAUAAGCUUGUCCAAUCCACAGCCCAAACGCCACACACAGUCCAGGACAGCUUUGAAUGAGGCCCAAUAGAAAUUGGUAAACUUUUAAAAAACAUUAUGGGAUUUUUUUUGGUGAUUUUUUUUUUCUUUAGCUUGUCAGCUAUCGUUAGUGUUAGUGCAUUUUAUAUGUGGCCCAAGACAAUUCUUCUUCUUGCAGUGUGGCCCAGAGAAGCUAAACGAUUGAACACCCCUGUUCUAGAAGUUCAUUCCAUGAAAUGGAAUCUCACCCAAGUGUUCUUAAAGAACACUUGGCUUCAAGCUAUCUGCCAUCUUUCGUUGCUCAUGUGGAUCAUUUCCGAUCUGGGUUAAAAGGUAAUGCAUUCGUGGGCCCUGAAAUCCAGAAAGUGAAACCCCAGGUCAGCUACUUAAUUUGCAGGAUCCCUUUUACAAACAAAAGAAAAUAUAAUAGAAUUUUUCUUCCUAUGGUUUCUUUCUUGACCUGUCAUGAUGUUUUUUCUUUGCUCUUAAUUUCACUCUGCCUUGGAAACAGGGAUGCUCACAGAGCGCUCAAAAUUACUCAGGAUAUGACCCUGAGUCUCCUUGUAUUUGGCCUCAGACCCCUGCUGGGUAAGAGGUGGUGUAGUGGUCUCUAGGUAUCAGUGGGGGAGCAAGAUGGCAAAAGGUGAGAUCACAUGUGAGCUGAGGCCCCAUGCUCCUGGCUCAUGCUCCAUUGUCCCAUCAGAGUUCACUUACAAAACACAAAUUCAAAGAUAAAAUUAUUAAGGAUUUCAAGACAGUAACAGUAAAGUUUUG